This 544-nucleotide ribosomal RNA is filed under the name uncultured bacterium. RNAcentral's name for it is "bacterial SSU rRNA". It matches the Rfam family "Bacterial small subunit ribosomal RNA", at positions 777 to 1319 of the family's 1533-position model. The record is from RNAcentral.
AAUAGAUACCCUGGUAGUCCACGCCGUAAACGAUGAGUGUUAAGUGUUAGGGGGUUUCCGCCCCUUAGUGCUGCAGCUAACGCAUUAAGCACUCCGCCUGGGGAGUACGGUCGCAAGACUGAAACUCAAAGGAAUUGACGGGGGCCCGCACAAGCGGUGGAGCAUGUGGUUUAAUUCGAAGCAACGCGAAGAACCUUACCAGGUCUUGACAUCCCACUGACCGCUAUGGAGACAUAGUUUUCCCUUCGGGGACAGUGGUGACAGGUGGUGCAUGGUUGUCGUCAGCUCGUGUCGUGAGAUGUUGGGUUAAGUCCCGCAACGAGCGCAACCCUUGAUCUUAGUUGCCAUCAUUUAGUUGGGCACUCUAAGGUGACUGCCGGUGACAAACCGGAGGAAGGUGGGGAUGACGUCAAAUCAUCAUGCCCCUUAUGACCUGGGCUACACACGUGCUACAAUGGACGGUACAAACGGUUGCCAACCCGCGAGGGGGAGCUAAUCCGAUAAAACCGUUCUCAGUUCGGAUUGUAGGCUGCAACUCGCCUAC